RNAcentral lists this ribosomal RNA (464 nucleotides) under uncultured Verrucomicrobiota bacterium. RNAcentral's name for it is "bacterial SSU rRNA". It matches the Rfam family "Bacterial small subunit ribosomal RNA", at positions 338 to 795 of the family's 1533-position model. Lineage: Bacteria; Pseudomonadati; Verrucomicrobiota. The record is from RNAcentral.
CCUACGGGUGGCAGCAGUCGAGAAUUUUUCACAAUGGGGGAAACCCUGAUGGAGCGACGCCGCGUGGGGGAUGAAUGGCUUCGGCCCGUAAACCCCUGUCAUUUGCGAACAAACCCCACGGCUGAACAGGUCGUGGGCUGAUAGUAGCAGAAGAGGAAGGGACGGCUAACUCUGUGCCAGCAGCCGCGGUAAUACAGAGGUCCCGAGCGUUGUUCGGAUUCACUGGGCGUAAAGGGUGCGUAGGCGGCAGGGUAAGUUUGAGGUGAAAUCUCCGGGCUCAACCCGGAAAAUGCCUCGAAUACUAUCCUGCUGGAGGAUCGGAGGGGAGACUGGAAUUCUCGGUGUAGCAGUGAAAUGCGUAGAUAUCGAGAGGAACACCAGUGGCGAAGGCGAGUCUCUGGACGAUUCCUGACGCUGAGGCACGAAAGCCAGGGGAGCAAACGGGAUUAGAUACCCUAGUAGUC